RNAcentral lists this ribosomal RNA (419 nucleotides) under uncultured bacterium. RNAcentral describes it as "bacterial SSU rRNA". It matches the Rfam family "Bacterial small subunit ribosomal RNA", at positions 355 to 774 of the family's 1533-position model. The record is from RNAcentral.
UGAGGAAUAUUGCACAAUGGGCGCAAGCCUGAUGCAGCGACGCCGCGUGUGGGAUGAAGGGGCUACGCCUCGUAAACCACUGUAGCCCGGGACGAAAAACGCCUUAGAGGCAUUAGACGGUACCGGGAAAGUAAGGGUCGGCUAACUACGUGCCAGCAGCCGCGGUAAUACGUAGGACCCAAGCGUUGUCCGGAUUUACUGGGUGUAAAGGGUGCGCAGGCGGAUGGGUAAGUCAGGGGUGAAAGUCUGCAGCUUAACUGUAGAAUUGCCUGUGAUACUGCUCAUCUUGAGUGUGGGAGAGGUUGAUGGAAGUCCAGGUGGAGCAGUGAAAUGCGUAGAUAUCUGGAAGAACACCAGUGGCUAAGGCGGUCAACUGGCCCAUAACUGACGCUCAUGCACGAAAGCGUGGGGAGCAAACA